Molecule: ribosomal RNA, 504 nt
Filed under: uncultured Arcyria
Lineage: Eukaryota; Evosea; Eumycetozoa; Trichiida
Description: bacterial SSU rRNA
Rfam family: Eukaryotic small subunit ribosomal RNA
Source: RNAcentral
CGAACGGCUCCGUAUAUCUGUUAAAACUUGUUGCCCGUUGGAAAGGUUGGUAAGCGGAUAUCGCUCGGCAAUUCUGUCAGUAAUACGUGUACGUGCAGCGUGCCCAACAUUCAGCUUAACCGUGGCCCAACGGCCCGCUGUAGCAGUAUGGACGGCCUCCGGAACGCCCAGCUCUACCAAGAGUUAGGAAACCGCCGAGAAGAGAACCAAGCCCUAUGGGACACUCCUAGAGGCAACAGUUUUCAGACCUAUCAACUUGAAGCCUGUGGCGAGUACAGGCCUGGUUUUUACGGGUACAGAGGAUCAGGGUUCGGUCCUGGAGAGGUAGCCUGAGAGAUCGCUACUACUUCUAAGGAAGGCAGCAGGCGCGCAACGUUCCCAAUGGAGGCAUAGGCCCCCUGAGGACGUGACGGGACAUACCAAUACCCAGCCCGAAGGGCUUGGGUAAUCGGAAUGGGGGGAACCUAAACCCCACGACCGAGUAACAAUUGGAGGACAAGUCUG